This 492-nucleotide ribosomal RNA is filed under the name uncultured Gammaproteobacteria bacterium. RNAcentral describes it as "bacterial SSU rRNA". It matches the Rfam family "Bacterial small subunit ribosomal RNA", at positions 8 to 491 of the family's 1533-position model. The record is from RNAcentral. Lineage: Bacteria; Pseudomonadati; Pseudomonadota; Gammaproteobacteria.
AGAGUUUGAUCCUGGCUCAGAUUGAACGCUGGCGGCAGGCUUAACACAUGCAAGUCGAGCGGUAACAGGGGAAGCUUGCUUCCCGCUGACGAGCGGCGGACGGGUGAGUAAUGCUUAGGAAUCUGCCCAGUAGUGGGGGAUAGCCCGGGGAAACCCGGAUUAAUACCGCAUACGUCCUACGGGAGAAAGCAGGGGAUCUUCGGACCUUGCGCUAUUGGAUGAGCCUAAGUCGGAUUAGCUAGUUGGUGGGGUAAAGGCCUACCAAGGCGACGAUCCGUAGCUGGUCUGAGAGGAUGAUCAGCCACAUCGGGACUGAGACACGGCCCGAACUCCUACGGGAGGCAGCAGUGGGGAAUAUUGGACAAUGGGGGCAACCCUGAUCCAGCCAUGCCGCGUGUGUGAAGAAGGCUUUCGGGUUGUAAAGCACUUUCAGUAGGGAGGAAAACCUUAUGGUUAAUACCCAUGAGGCUUGACGUUACCUACAGAAGAAGC